UGUCUAAAGGUUUUUGGGAAAGGGAUAUUUGGGUUUUCGCAUCGGUGAAGAACGGAGCGAAAUGCGAAACUUGGUUUUAAUUUCAAAAACCCGUGAACCAACGAGUCUUUGAACCCAAGUUGCGCCCCAAACCAUUAGGCCCAGGGCCCCCCUUCCUGGGCCUCAAACC
Molecule: ribosomal RNA, 169 nt
Filed under: Rubus minusculus var. hongnoensis
Lineage: Eukaryota; Viridiplantae; Streptophyta; Magnoliopsida; Rosales; Rosaceae
Description: Rubus hongnoensis 5.8S ribosomal RNA
Rfam family: 5.8S ribosomal RNA
About the family: 5.8S ribosomal RNA (5.8S rRNA) is a component of the large subunit of the eukaryotic ribosome.
Source: RNAcentral